Molecule: non-coding RNA, 72 nt
Organism: Megalops atlanticus (tarpon)
Lineage: Eukaryota; Metazoa; Chordata; Actinopteri; Elopiformes; Megalopidae
Source: the annotation of a GenBank genome assembly
GGCAGUGUGGCAUAUAGUGGUAGGGUGUCGGGCUUGUAACUGAAAGGUUGCUGGUUCGAUUCCCCGCUGGAG